CCUACGGGGGGCAGCAGUGAGGAAUAUUGGUCAAUGGCCGGAAGGCUGAACCAGCCAUGCCGCGUGAAGGUCAGUGCCCUAUGGGCGUUAAACUUCUUUUGUGCGGGAGCAAUAAUGGUCACGUGUGGCCAGACGAGAGUACCGUACGAAUAAGCAUCGGCUAACUCCGUGCCAGCAGCCGCGGUAAUACGGGGGAUGCAAGCGUUAGCCGGAUUUAUUGGGUUUAAAGGGUGCGUAGGCUGUGAGGUAAGUCAGCGGGGAAAUGCCCCGGCGCAACGGGGUGAAGUGCCAUUGAUACUGGCUUGCUGGAAUGCGGAUGCCGUGGGCGGAAUGUGUGGUGUAGCGGUGAAAUGCAUAGAUAUCACACAGAACACCGAUUGCGAAGGCAUCUCACGAAUCCGCGAUUGACGCUGAUGCACGAAAGCGUGGGUAUCAAACAGGAUUAGAUACCCUUGUAGUC
Molecule: ribosomal RNA, 460 nt
Filed under: uncultured bacterium
Lineage: Bacteria
Description: partial 16S ribosomal RNA
Rfam family: Bacterial small subunit ribosomal RNA
Source: RNAcentral